Molecule: ribosomal RNA, 490 nt
Filed under: uncultured bacterium
Lineage: Bacteria
Description: partial 16S ribosomal RNA
Rfam family: Bacterial small subunit ribosomal RNA
Source: RNAcentral
AUUGAACGCUGGCGGCAGGCCUAACACAUGCAAGUCGAACGGUAACAGGAAACUGCUUCCUGUUUCGCUGACGAGUGGCGGGCGUGUGAGUAAUGUCUGUGCCACUGCCUGAGGGAGGGGGCUAACUACUGGAAACGGUAGCUGCUACCGCCUAGCGUGGCAAGACCAAGGAGGGAGACCCUCGGGCCUCUUGCCAUCGGCUGUGCCCAGAUGGGAUUAGCUUGUUGGUGGGGUAAAGGCUUACCAAGGCGACGAUCCGUAGCUGGUCUGAGAGGACGACCAGCCACACUGGAACUGAGACACGGCCCAGACUCCUACGGGAGGCAGCAGUGGGGAAUAUUGGACAAUGGGCGCAAGCCUGAUGCAGCCAUGCCGCGUGCAGGAAGAAGGCCUUCGGGUUGUAAAGUGCUUUCAGUCGGGAGGAAGGGCUCAAAGUUAAUACCCCGGCGCAUUGACGUUACCGGAAGAAUAAGCACCGGCUAACUACGUG